This 76-nucleotide transfer RNA is filed under the name Hyphomicrobiales bacterium. Its description in RNAcentral is "tRNA-Asn". It matches the Rfam family "tRNA". Rfam says of the family: Transfer RNA (tRNA) molecules are approximately 80 nucleotides in length. Their secondary structure includes four short double-helical elements and three loops (D, anti-codon, and T loops). RNAcentral also lists the same sequence under 1 other name. The record is from RNAcentral. Lineage: Bacteria; Pseudomonadati; Pseudomonadota; Alphaproteobacteria; Hyphomicrobiales.
UCCCCGAUAGCUCAGUUGGUAGAGCAAGCGACUGUUAAUCGCUUUGUCCCUGGUUCGAGUCCAGGUCGGGGAGCCA